This 465-nucleotide ribosomal RNA is filed under the name uncultured bacterium. RNAcentral describes it as "bacterial SSU rRNA". It matches the Rfam family "Bacterial small subunit ribosomal RNA", at positions 28 to 507 of the family's 1533-position model. The record is from RNAcentral.
GAUGAACGCUGGCGGCGCGCCUAACACAUGCAAGUCGAACGGAGAACAUUUAGCAAUAGAUGUUCUUAGUGGCGGACGGGUGAGUAACGCGUGAGGAACCUGCCUUUCGGAGGGGGAAUAACACAUCGAAAGAUGUGCUAAUACCGCAUAACGUCAUUGGGUGGCAUCAUCCGAUGACCAAAAGAGCAAUCUGCCGAAAGAUGGCCUCGCGUCCGAUUAGAUAGUUGGUGAGGUAACGGCCCACCAAGUCUGCGAUCGGUAGCCGGACUGAGAGGUUGAACGGCCACAUUGGGACUGAGACACGGCCCAGACUCCUACGGGAGGCAGCAGUGGGGGAUAUUAGUCAAUGGAGGAAACUCUGAACUAGCGACGCCGCGUGAGGGAAGAAGGUCUUCGGAUUGUAAACCUCUGUCUUCGGGGAAGAUAAUGACGGUACCCGAGGAGGAAGCUCCGGCUAACUACGUG